This 716-nucleotide ribosomal RNA is filed under the name uncultured Vagococcus sp. RNAcentral describes it as "bacterial SSU rRNA". It matches the Rfam family "Bacterial small subunit ribosomal RNA", at positions 1 to 720 of the family's 1533-position model. The record is from RNAcentral. Lineage: Bacteria; Bacillati; Bacillota; Bacilli; Lactobacillales; Enterococcaceae.
UCGGCUUAGAGUUUGGUCCUGGCUCAGGACGAACGCUGGCGGCGUGCCUAAUACAUGCAAGUCGAACGCAGGAAAGCUUGCUUUCUUGAGUGGCGGACGGGUGAGUAACACGUGGGUAACCUGCCCAUUAGAGGGGGAUAACACUUGGAAACAGGUGCUAAUACCGCAUAAUUCUUUACCGCAUGGCAGAAGAUGAAAGACGUUCGUGUCACUAAUGGAUGGACCCGCGCAGCAUUAGUUAGUUGGUGAGGUAAUGGCUCACCAAGACCGUGAUGCUUAGCCGACCUGAGAGGGUGAUCGGCCACACUGGGACUGAGACACGGCCCAGACUCCUACGGGAGGCAGCAGUAGGGAAUCUUCGGCAAUGGACGAAAGUCUGACCGAGCAACGCCGCGUGAGUGAAGAAGGUUUUCGGAUCGUAAAACUCUGUUGUUAGAGAAGAACAAGUGGGAGGUAACUCCCGCCUUGACGGUAUCUAACCAGAAAGCCACGGCUAACUACGUGCCAGCAGCCGCGGUAAUACGUAGGUGGCAAGCGUUGUCCGGAUUUAUUGGGCGUAAAGCGAGCGCAGUGGUUUCUUAAGUCUGAUGUGAAAGCCCCCGGCUCAACCGGGGAGGGUCAUUGGAAACUGGGAGACUUGAGUGCAGAAGAGGAGAGUGGAAUUCCAUGUGUAGCGGUGAAAUGCGUAGAUAUAUGGAGGAACACCAGUGGCGAAA